RNAcentral lists this ribosomal RNA (466 nucleotides) under uncultured bacterium. RNAcentral's name for it is "partial 16S ribosomal RNA". It matches the Rfam family "Bacterial small subunit ribosomal RNA", at positions 28 to 507 of the family's 1533-position model. The record is from RNAcentral.
GACGAACGCUGGCGGCGUGCUUAACACAUGCAAGUCGAACGGAAAGGCCAGUGCUUGCACUGGUACUCGAGUGGCGAACGGGUGAGUAACACGUGGGUGAUCUGCCUUGCACUCUGGGAUAAGCUUGGGAAACUGGGUCUAAUACCGGAUAUGAACUGCCUUUAGUGUGGUGGUUGGAAAGUUUUUUCGGUGCAAGAUGAGCUCGCGGCCUAUCAGCUUGUUGGUGGGGUAAUGGCCUACCAAGGCGUCGACGGGUAGCCGGCCUGAGAGGGUGUACGGCCACAUUGGGACUGAGAUACGGCCCAGACUCCAACGGGAGGCAGCGGUGGGGAAGGGUGUACAAUGGGCGGAAGCAUGAUGCAGCGACGCCGCGUGGGGGAUAACGGCCUUCGGGUUGUAAACUCCUUUCGUCAGGGACGAAGCGUAAGUGACGGUACCUGGAGAAGAAGCACCGGCUAACUACGUG